GACGAACGCUGGCGGCGUGCUUAACACAUGCAAGUCGUACGGUAAGGCCCUUUCGGGGGUACACGAGUGGCGAACGGGUGAGUAACACGUGAGUAACCUGCCCACAACUUUGGGAUAACGUUAGGAAACUGGUGCUAAUACUGGAUAUGUUCUCCUGCUGCAUGGUGGGGGUUGGAAAGCUCCGGCGGUUGUGGAUGGACUCGCGGCCUAUCAGCUUGUUGGUGGGGUAGUGGCCUACCGAGGCGGCGACGGGUAGCCGGCCUGAGAGGGUGACCGGCCACAUUGGGACUGAGAUACGGCCCAGACUCCUACGGGAGGCAGCAGUGGGGAAUAUUGCACAAUGGGCGCAAGCCUGAUGCAGCAGCUCCGCGUGCGGGAUGACGGCCUUCGGGUUGUAAACCGCUUUCAGCAGGGACGAAGCUUUUUGUGACGGUACCUGCAGAAGAAGCACCGGCUAACUACGUG
RNAcentral lists this ribosomal RNA (465 nucleotides) under uncultured bacterium. RNAcentral describes it as "partial 16S ribosomal RNA". It matches the Rfam family "Bacterial small subunit ribosomal RNA", at positions 28 to 507 of the family's 1533-position model. The record is from RNAcentral.